Non-coding RNA from Myodes glareolus (Bank vole), 770 nucleotides. The record is from RefSeq and is a predicted model, not a curated record. Lineage: Eukaryota; Metazoa; Chordata; Mammalia; Rodentia; Cricetidae.
GCUGGGGCCUGAGCCACAGCCUGACCUGUGGUGGCAGGGCACACCUCACACAGUACCUCCACCAUGCAGGCGUAACACGCAACAGGGGUCUCCAGAAGCCCUGUGCAGAGUGUGAUGACCAUCAGUGAUUUGACCUCAGCUCAGAGCCAGGAGACACCCAGCUCAGGGAGCACGCCCAGCACUCUCUGCUUGAACAUCCUCUGUCCUUGACUAACAAGGUACCUUUUAUUGCCCUAUGUGAAUCUUGUCUGAGAGUUUCCCAUGGAUACAAAGCCUAUGAAAAACUUGGUUAUGAGAAACCGGAAAAUCGUGGUACCUCAUGAAUCAGAUGCCUCUGGCUGUUCUCUCUCACACAGCUACCAUCAAAACCUCCCCUCAACCAGUCCUUGGAGCAGCCACGUCCUCAGUUUAUGAUACGGCACUGAAAUCCUCGGUUUAUACAUUGGUGCCAAAAGAAGCCUGUGACCUGUGGAGAGUGCCGAUGCUCUCUGCCCCGGGACAAAAGAACCCCUCCUUUGCUAUCCCAUCAUCUAGCGAGCAUCUUCCCGUCUCUCAUUUGACUCUCCGUUCUCCACCCACCAAUGGGGAGGCAGAUCUGAGUACUGACCUAAUUUGAUUUCUUAAUUUGAAAAAUCUACUUUGCAACCCAAUUAAGUCGUGUGUACUUCACUUUAGUCUUGCGAUCCCUUGGCUUAUGCAGGCAGAAGUGCAUAAGCUACCGGAACACGAAAACCAGGCUCCUGCCGCAUUAGAUCUUCAUCAUUCCCACU